Arachis stenosperma is the source of this 677-nucleotide long non-coding RNA. RefSeq lists it as uncharacterized. NCBI's taxonomy places the organism in Eukaryota, Viridiplantae, Streptophyta, Magnoliopsida, Fabales, Fabaceae. The transcript has 3 exons. The record is from RefSeq and is a predicted model, not a curated record.
UGUACUUUAAUUGCACUCAUCACUUUUCAACAACCAAAGUACAAGUCGUUUACACGCAAGACUCUCUUUUGACGAUGCUCACCCGCAUAUCUCAGAUCUCACAGGAAGCUUUGGACCUCUGCUCGUCGGGUUCUCCUUCCAGUUCUUUGCCGGGCCUCCUCUGCUCCGCUGCCCUCACCUCUCUCACUCUCACACCUUCUCUUCUUCUGCCUUUGCUCUUCGUUCUACAGCUUAUGUUUAUUUCGAUUUCAAUUUUCUGCAUUGGAAGAGGCAUUGCUUUUCUACUCAACCUGCACUAGAACUUCCCGCCGGUAAGAUCGUGGAUGUGCCGUUGGCACAAACUGGUGAAGGUAUUGCAGAAUGUGAACUUCUCAAAUGGCAUGUCCAAGAGAGCUACUAGAUUCUGAUCUUGAAAAAGGGAAACGUGCUGCAGUGUUAUGAACACCUGCUGUAAGGAGUCUUGCAAAGCACCAUGGUAUAGACAUAAAUGAAGUAUGUGGAACUGGAAAAGAUGGAAGGGUAUUGAAAGAAGAUGUGCUCAAUUUUGCUGCUAAGAAGGGAAUAAUUAGAAAUGUAUCUGCUGCUUUGCAUGCUGAUAAUGUAGAGAAGCCUCAAGGAGCAGAAGGAUAGAGUGUGACACCUGGUAUAAAUCACAUUGAGAGGAUAGGAUACUUCCC